This 247-nucleotide long non-coding RNA is filed under the name Homo sapiens (human). RNAcentral describes it as "HSALNT0268053". Lineage: Eukaryota; Metazoa; Chordata; Mammalia; Primates; Hominidae. The record is from RNAcentral.
UUCAGGGCGUAGUAUUCAGCCAGCUGGUGCAGAGGACAGCUGGAGUUCAGUCCCAUGGAGAAAUCACACACAAUAGAGGAAUCCCAGGAGCGAGGGACAGGCGGUGUGGGUAGAGUGGACUGCUGAGGUCAUGGACAAAAGCCUGCAGGCAAAAAGAAGAAGAUAUUGGCAGUUAGAAGUGGCUCUGAGCCUGCUGGAGGGUUCCAGGGCUAUGUGGAGGGCACGAACAGCAUCUGCUCCCCUGGGG